GGGGGGCCCGUUACCGGCAUACUGGGGCGUAAGCGCACGCAGGUGGUUUGUUAAGUCAGAUGUGAAAGCCCGGGGCUCAACCUCGGAAGGUCAUUGGAAACUGGCAGACUUGAGUGCUGAAGAGGGGGGUAGAAUUUCAUGUGUAGCGGUGAAAUGCGUAGAGAUCUGAAGGAACACCGGUGGCGAAGGCGACCUUCUGGACUGAUACUGACACUCAGGUGCGAAAGCGUGGGGAGCAAACAGGAUUAGAUACCCUGGUAGUCCACGCCGUAACGAUGACUGCUAGGAGGUGAGGGCUUCCGCCCUUUUUGCUGAGCUUACGCAUUAGCACUCCGCCGGGGGAGUACGGCCGCAGAGUUGAAACUCAAUGGAUUUGAGGGGGCCCCCCACAAGCGGGGAACCAUGGGUUUUAUUUCAUGCAACGCAAAAACCCUUCCUACUCUUGACAUCCUCUAACUUCCCUAAAAUGGAUGGUUCCCUUCGGGAACUCAGAGACAGGUGGUGCAUGGCUGUCGUCAGCUCGUGUUGUGAGAUGUUGGGUAAGUCCCCAACGAGCGCACCCUUGCUUUGUUUGCCAUCAUUAAUGUGGGGCUCUCAGGGACUGCCCGGACAUACCCGAGGAAGUGUGGAAACAUCCAAUCUCUUGGCCCUUUGAGAUGGGCUUACACGUGCUUAAUGGGCGUACCAGAGGUGGAAACUCGAGAGGAGCUAACUCCAAAACGGUCUCAAUCCGAUUUGGACUGCACCUCCUUCUGAACUCGAUCUCUAUUAUCCGGAAUAAUUCCGGGGAAACCUUCCCGGCCUUGACACCCCCCUUCACCCGUGAGUUGUAUGCCAAAUCGUGGGUAACCUUUGGGCAGCUCCACGUGGAUCAGAUGGGGAUAAAAAACCCCCAAAAAAAAAAACCUUGGGGGGGGUCAGGCCGGAAAGCGGGGUGGGGGGGGGGC
Molecule: ribosomal RNA, 947 nt
Filed under: Bacillus thuringiensis
Lineage: Bacteria; Bacillati; Bacillota; Bacilli; Caryophanales; Bacillaceae
Description: bacterial SSU rRNA
Rfam family: Bacterial small subunit ribosomal RNA
Source: RNAcentral